RNAcentral lists this ribosomal RNA (497 nucleotides) under uncultured bacterium. Its description in RNAcentral is "partial 16S ribosomal RNA". It matches the Rfam family "Bacterial small subunit ribosomal RNA", at positions 28 to 507 of the family's 1533-position model. The record is from RNAcentral.
GAUGAACGCUGGCGGCGUGCCUAAUACAUGCAAGUCGAGCGAACGGACGAGAAGCUUGCUUCUCUGAUGUUAGCGGCGGACGGGUGAGUAACACGUGGAUAACCUACCUAUAAGACUGGGAUAACUUCGGAAAACCGGAGCUAAUACCGGAUAAUAUUUUGAACCGCAUGGUUCAAAAGUGAAAUACGGUCUUGCUGUCACUUAUAGCUGGAUCCGGGCUGCAUUGGAUAGUUGGUAAGGUAACGGCUUACCAAGGGUACGAUGCAUAGCCGACCUGAGAGAGUGGUCGGCCACACUGGAGCUGGGACGCGGUCCAGGCUCCUGCGGGAGGGAGCAGUAUGGAAUCGUCCGCAGUAGGGGAGAGCCUGACGGAGCAGCGCCACGUCAGUGAUGGAGGUCUUCGGAUCGUAAUGCUCUGUUAUUAGGGAAGAACAUAUGUGUAAGUAGCUGUGCACAGCUUGACGGUACCUAGUCAGAAAGCCACGGCUAACUACGUG